This 1095-nucleotide long non-coding RNA is filed under the name Rattus norvegicus (Norway rat). Its description in RNAcentral is "long non-coding RNA NONRATT023874". The record is from RNAcentral. Lineage: Eukaryota; Metazoa; Chordata; Mammalia; Rodentia; Muridae.
CACGCUCGCACUGGUUAGACUUGCCCGCUGUGUAAGAGGAAGGUCACACUAAGAAAGUGUGUAGGUUGAGAAAGUGUGUUGGUUGGUUUGACAGAAGCUAGACUAGCCAGAGACAAGCUCUGGGCAAGUAUUUGAGGUAAUAUCUGGAUGUAAUUAAUCGAGGUGAGGAGACCGGCCCUAACUGGGAGGCACCAUCGCUUGGACUGAACAAAAGGUCCUUGAGCCCUGCUGCGAGACGCCCAGGCUUUGGAGGGCAAUAACCUGGGACUGUGAGUCAGCACAAAGCCUUCCUUCUUUACCUUGCUAUCCUCAGGGUAUUUUUCCAUAACAGUAGAAAGGAAUGUAGGCAGUAGGGUACCUGCAAGAUCAGAGAGGAGAUAGGACUGUUGAUGGGGGAGGAUCUUGGAGGGAGAUGCAGAUAAGAAAGUCCCGGUAGAGAGCCCUGGGCAAGUCUCCUUAACACGCUAGGACUCCGUCUGGAGCAGAAGCAUCCAUUGAAGAUGAGGAAUCCGCAGUUCAAGAUAACUAACUGGCUGGCGCCAGCUGGCGGGGCUCACUGGGCUCAGACUGGAACGAAUGGCCACUUUGAGUUUCAACUCCAAGCGUCCACCAGGGGGAGGCUGCAGGACCUCGCUGUGCAGAGCUGAGAAGGGCUGCCACGUGUCGGAUGAGGACUGCGUGGAGCCGCGGGGUAGCGAGGAGGCUCUGUCGUUCCCCAAAGCAAGGGCUGGGUUCUCCGUGCAAAGGUGUAAUGACACGGAGAAACGGCAGAUUUUAUGGAAUAAAAGAGGAAGCUUCUCGCGACGACGCUUCUGCGAGGUAUCUGAACCAAGCCAGCUUUCCUGGGAGGAUCAAGAAUUUCAACUCCUGGAUUCCAGGAGAGCAGGAUGGAGAACAAUGGGAAGUCUGUGGUUAGGGAGGGGACCUGCAGUUCCACACGCGGACACCGGAGGGGAGGCAGAGGACACUUGGUCCUUGGUUUUAAUUCAUUUCUAUUUAUUUAUUUAUUCCUGCCUAGUAGGAAUGGAGAGAUCUGAUCUUUCAAAAAAGAAAUAAAUAAAUAAAAGCAAUCAAACAAAAACAAUUUUAAAAAAU